AUAUAUCAACUUCUUCAGCUUUUGCUUGUUGAGUGUUGGAUGUGGGGGUUUUGCUGGCCUUUCUAAAGGUCAGCUCCCUUGAAAUGCAUUAGCGGAACAAUCUGUUGACUGUUCAUUGGUGUGAUAAUUAUCUGCGCUAUUGAACUGUGAGGCAAGUUCAGCUUCUAAUAGUCCAUUGACUUGGACAAUUUUUUUUUUCAUUUA
This 204-nucleotide unclassified non-coding RNA is filed under the name uncultured Cortinarius. RNAcentral describes it as "sequence contains ITS2". Lineage: Eukaryota; Fungi; Basidiomycota; Agaricomycetes; Agaricales; Cortinariaceae. The record is from RNAcentral.